This 27-nucleotide non-coding RNA is filed under the name Rattus norvegicus (Norway rat). Lineage: Eukaryota; Metazoa; Chordata; Mammalia; Rodentia; Muridae. The record is from RNAcentral.
UCUUAAGUAAACUAUUUAUAUGGGUCC